This is a small nucleolar RNA of Alligator mississippiensis (American alligator), 83 nucleotides long. It matches the Rfam family "Small nucleolar RNA SNORD121A". NCBI's taxonomy places the organism in Eukaryota, Metazoa, Chordata, Crocodylia, Alligatoridae. The record is from Rfam.
GUCCAGAAGACAGUGAUGUAUUUUUCCAAGCACAUAUCGGAUUGCUCUAUGAGGAAAUCCAACCACUUCUGAGUUUUCUGGAC